Molecule: long non-coding RNA, 113 nt
Organism: Fukomys damarensis (Damara mole-rat)
Lineage: Eukaryota; Metazoa; Chordata; Mammalia; Rodentia; Bathyergidae
Exons: 3
Source: RefSeq, a predicted model, not a curated record
UGGAUAGAAAGGGGCUACUGCAGCUCUUUUACAACUCCUAGGGAUUUUGGAAAGAAAGGACAAGAAAAACAGCUAAGAUGAUGAAAUUGAUGUCAGGAAAAUUGGAAUGAUCA